GUUGUAUAGUUAAGUGAGAAAGCGUACAGGGCGGAUGCCUUGGCAAUCAGAGGCGAAGAAGGACGUGCUAAUCUGCGAAAAGCGUGGGUGAGUUGAUAAGAAGCGUUUAACCCACGAUGUCCGAAUGGGGAAACCCGAUAGGCGAAGAGCCUAUCAUUGCGAGGUGAAUAAAAUAGCCUCGUAAGGCGAACCGGGAGAACUGAAACAUCUAAGUACCCCGAGGAAAAGAAAUCAACCGAGAUUCUGUGAGUAGCGGCGAGCGAAAGCGGAGGAGCCAGUAAGUAAUAGCAGCAGAGAUAGAGGAAUUGUCUGGGAAGGCAAGCGACACAGGGUGAUAGCCCCGUACUUAAAAUCCAGGCUGUGGUACUAAGCUUACGAGAAGUAGGGCGGGACACGAGGAAUCCUGUCUGAAGAUGGGGGGACCAUCCUCCAAGGCUAAAUACUCCUGAUUGACCGAUAGUGAACCAGUACUGUGAAGGAAAGGCGAAAAGAACCCCGGUGAGGGGAGUGAAAUAGAACCUGAAACCCUGUACGUACAAGCAGUGGGAGCCCGCAAGGGUGACUGCGUACCUUUUGUAUAAUGGGUCAGCGACUUAUAUUUUGUAGCGAGGUUAACUGAAUAAGGGAGCCGAAGGGAAACCGAGUCUUAACUGGGCGGUGAGUUGCAAGGUAUAGACCCGAAACCCGGUGAUCUAGCCAUGGGCAGGUUGAAGGUUGGGUAACACUAACUGGAGGACCGAACCGACUAAUGUUGAAAAAUUAGCGGAUGACCUGUGGCUGGGGGUGAAAGGCCAAUCAAACCGGGAGAUAGCUGGUUCUCCCCGAAAUCUAUUUAGGUAGAGCCUUGUGUGAAUACCUUUGGGGGUAGAGCACUGUUUCGGCUAGGGGCCCAUCCCGGGUUACCAAACCGAUGCAAACUCCGAAUACCAAAGAGUAAUGCACAGGAGACACACGGCGGGUGCUAACGUCCGUCGUGGAGAGGGAAACAACCCAGACCGCCAGCUAAGGUCCCAAAAUCUAUAUUAAGUGGGAAACGAAGUGGGAAGGCUUAGACAGCUAGGAUGUUGGCUUAGAAGCAGCCACCAUUUAAAGAAAGCGUAAUAGCUCACUAGUCGAGUCGGCCUGCGCGGAAGAUGUAACGGGGCUAAAAUAUAGUACCGAAGCUGCGGCAUCAAUCGAAGGAUUGUUGGGUAGGGGAGCGUUGUGUAAGCGGAAGAAGGUGGUUCGAGAGGAUUGCUGGACGUAUCACAAGUGCGAAUGCUGACAUAAGUAACGAUAAAACGGGUGAAAAACCCGUUCGCCGGAAGACCAAGGGUUCCUGUCCAACGUUAAUCGGGGCAGGGUGAGUCGGCCCUAAGGCGAGGCUGAAAAGCGUAGUCGAUGGGAAACGGGUUAAUAUUCCCGUACUUGGUAAAGCUGCGAUGUGGGGACGGAGAAGGUUAGGUUAUCGACCUGUUGGAGAUGGUCGUUUAAGUUGGUAGGUGGGUGAGUUAGGCAAAUCCGGCUCACCGUUAACACUGAGAGAUGAUGACGAGGCACUAAGGUGCUGAAGUAACUGAUACCACACUUCCAGGAAAAGCCACUAAGCUUCAGGCUUUACUAAACCGUACUGAAAACCGACACAGGUGGUCAGGUAGAGAAUACUCAGGCGCUUGAGAGAACUCGGGUGAAGGAACUAGGCAAAAUAGCACCGUAACUUCGGGAGAAGGUGUGCCGGCGUAGAUUGUAGUGACUUGCUCACGAAGGUUGAACCGGUCGAAGAUACCAGCUGGCUGCAACUGUUUAUUAAAAACACAGCACUCUGCAAACACGAAAGUGGACGUAUAGGGUGUGAUGCCUGCCCGGUGCUGGAAGGUUAAUUGAUGGUGUAAUCGAAAGAGAAGCUCCUGAUCGAAGCCCCAGUAAACGGCGGCCGUAACUAUAACGGUCCUAAGGUAGCGAAAUUCCUUGUCGGGUAAGUUCCGACCUGCACGAAUGGCAUAAUGAUGGCCAGGCUGUCUCCACCCGAGACUCAGUGAAAUUGAAAUCGCCGUGAAGAUGCGGUGUACCCGCGGCUAGACGGAAAGACCCCGUGAACCUUUACUAUAGCUUGACACUGAACCUUGAAUUUUGAUGUGUAGGAUAGGUGGGAGACUAUGAAGCGGUAACGCCAGUUAUCGUGGAGUCGUUGUUGAAAUACCACCCUUUAACGUUUGAUGUUCUAACGAAGUGCCUGAAACGGGUACUCGGACAGUGUCUGGUGGGUAGUUUGACUGGGGCGGUCUCCUCCCAAAGUGUAACGGAGGAGCACGAAGGUUUGCUAAUGACGGUCGGACAUCGUCAGGUUAGUGCAAUGGUAUAAGCAAGCUUAACUGCGAGACAGACAAGUCGAGCAGGUGCGAAAGCAGGUCAUAGUGAUCCGGUGGUUCUGAAUGGAAGGGCCAUCGCUCAACGGAUAAAAGGUACUCCGGGGAUAACAGGCUGAUACCGCCCAAGAGUUCAUAUCGACGGCGGUGUUUGGCACCUCGAUGUCGGCUCAUCACAUCCUGGGGCUGAAGUAGGUCCCAAGGGUAUGGCUGUUCGCCAUUUAAAGUGGUACGCGAGCUGGGUUUAGAACGUCGUGAGACAGUUCGGUCCCUAUCUGCCGUGGGCGUUGGAGAAUUGAGAGGGGCUGCUCCUAGUACGAGAGGACCGGAGUGGACGCAUCACUGGUGUACCAGUUGUCUCGCCAGAGGCAUUGCUGGGUAGCUAAAUGCGGAAGAGAUAAGUGCUGAAAGCAUCUAAGCACGAAACUUGCCUUGAGAUGAGUUCUCCCAGUCUAUAAGACUGUAAGGGUUGUUGGAGACUACGACGUAGAUAGGCUGGGUGUGUAAGCGGUGUGAGCCGUUGAGCUAACCAGUACUAAUUGCCCGAGAGGCUUAACUAUACAACGCUCAAGGGUUUUG
RNAcentral lists this ribosomal RNA (2924 nucleotides) under Avibacterium paragallinarum. RNAcentral's name for it is "23S ribosomal RNA". It matches the Rfam family "Bacterial large subunit ribosomal RNA". The record is from RNAcentral. Lineage: Bacteria; Pseudomonadati; Pseudomonadota; Gammaproteobacteria; Pasteurellales; Pasteurellaceae.